CCAAAACAGAGGCCAAAAUGGUUCCAUUUCAACACCUAGUACCGCCUGCCUCGGACUCUCAAAGUGUUGAAUUACAGGCACCAGCCAGCGCGCCUGGCUCGAAUCUCAUUUUUCCAUCACUGAUCAGUAUUAAAAUUAUCAUGAUUUUUUAACUUGUGUUUUUUUGCCCCUUCCUCUAGAAUGUAAGCUCCAGGCAGGCAAGAACUUUAUCUUGUUCACUCGAAGCUGAAGCCCCAGCAUGUACAAUCCCGGGCUGGGUCGCUUACUCAUCAGCAGAGAGGAACACGGAUUCUCUUUGGAAAAGACAAACUACCCUCCCGGAGCCGCGGCACAGUCUCACUGAGGGCCUGCUCCCAUUCCAGUCAAAGGGCGACAAAAAGAAAAAACGUGAGCCACCAUCAGCCUCAGAGAAGGAGAGAGUGUCUGGCUUCCCCACCCUGGCGUUUCUGCAUCCUGAGAAACUCACUGCCUGUGGAAGCUCCAGGCCCCUCCCACCUUGUCAGACGCAGGUUCUGCUGGAAGGAGCCUCCAGCCUCUGGCUUUGCAGCCGAAGCUCAGAAUUGCCCGUGGGGGACCAGAAGGUAAGAACAGACCUGGGCUGUAACUUCCACAGUGCCUCCUGCUGGCUGGGGAGCGGGGACAUGUCAUGUGCCACUAUGAGCCUCAGUUUCCUCAUCUGUCCAAUAGGUAUGCUAAGCCUCUCAGGCCUGCCCCAGCCUUGCAGAGGGGGUGGGAGAGCAGGAUUUCCCAUCUCAGACCUCAGAGACAAAUGUGGCUGCCAAACAUAGCCUGACUCAGUGCAGGCAGCCCUGGGCCCCGUCGGGCCGGCCCUGUGAGGGAGGGCGGUGUAGGGGCACCCAGCUGCCUACGUCCUCUGGGAGGGAGGCUCCUGGUGCCAGGAAAGAGCAUGGACUCCAGGUCUAAUUGGCUUUCUCUGCCCAGCUGUGGGACCUUGGGCGAGCCACACAAUUCUCGGAGCCCCUAUUUCUGCAGGGCUCCUGCUAAGUCACCAGGAUGCCUGUUUUCUGGUGUCCGGGGUGGGGGACCACCCCCAGUAUCUCUUUUUGGAUCAAUUUCUGGAACAUUCCCGGUCUUCGAAGGCCUUUCCAGGCCCUUAGCCACUGCUCCUGCUGUGUGCUCACAGCCUAAGUGGGAGUAGGGGGUGGGCUCUUACUGGAUCUAAAGGAGCUGUCUUCGGGGAAGGAUGUGAAGUCAGGGGCGCAGGCUUCUCACUCUCUGGUCCAGCUUCCCAGGAGCCAGAGGCCAGAGCCCCAGACCAAGAGGCCUCGACUCCUCAGCCUCUUCUCUCCUGCUGCCUGGGCCACUUCCUCCGCCGCUGCCUGGGCCUCCUCCCCCCCAGUCCCCUUGGCCAUUUACUCUUCAUCAGCUCCACCAUUCUUCUCUUCUAAGCGGCAGCAAGCAGAGCUGAAGUCUAGCUGUACAUCAAUCACACCAACAGUAACCAUAAUGCAGUCGGUUUGCCCCUGAACCCGCAGUCCUGUCUGCUCGGGGCUUACCUGUGUCGCUUCACCCUUUGGGUGGGUCACCAGCUCACCGAUGCCCCUCACUGUCUCGAAUGCCAGCUCAGGGCUGUGUAGAGAGCCUGGGCCCCAGUGUCAGACAGACCUGGGCUCAGAUGCAAGUUCCACCACCUUUCACAGUGGCCCUGGCUUUGACCUCCCCAUGCCAGGCCUCAGUUUCUUCAUUGGUCAAGACUGAAGCCUGGUGAUGGUCUGCUGGGUGUUACUUCUAGGCUCAGCAGGGCGUAUGACUCACACAUCGAGGAGAGCGCGGGGCAUGUGACCCAUCUGCCCAUUACAGAGCUCGGCUGUGUGUCCUCGCUCCUGCUCUUAGGGAACUGACUCCUGGGUUCAAGGAGGCAAAUCCCAAAACACAACUGAUAAUGAAGUGAUAAUGCAGAUCGGUUGGUAGACACACAAGGCGGUUCAAACUCUCCCCUAUCCCCAAGGCGCUCACGGCCAGGCAUGGGAGAUAGGUAACAGCAUCUUUAAUAAAAUUAGGGUCACAACAUCUUUAAUAAAUACUAAGGAUAAUCUAUUGAGUAAUUAUUGCCGGCUAGGAACUUUAAAGAAAUUUAUAUGGAUUUUAUUUUAAUUCUCACAAACCCUGAGAAGAAAGAUGUUAUUAUCUUUAAGUUACCGGUAGGAACGGAGGCUCAGAGAGGUAAGGUCUCUGGCCCAGGUUCACACAGCAGAGCACAGAGAAGAUGGAACUGAGCUUUGAGCCCCGAUCUGCCUGAUAUGGAGGGGCCAUGCUCUUACUUUGUCUGCUCUAUCCCUCUGUGCACAAGUCUAUGAUCUUCCAAACGCCAUUUCUGUGCCAAACCAGGCGCUGUUUCUGCAUUAAUACCCAUCCUGAUUACUGCAGUUUUGGUUGCAAGUGUCAGAAAAUCCAAUUUAAAGGACUUAAAUAAUAAAGAGAAUUCACUGACUCACAUAACUGAAAAAGGGGUAGUAGUUCCUGCUUCAGGCAAGGACUGAUCCAGCUGCUAAUGCAUUGAUUGGUAUGAAUAGGACCAGUGAGUUUUCUUCUUCUCCAUUCUACUUUUUAAAAAUUCUUCUUCUUCUUCUUAAUUCAGCUCUAUUCUUAUUAAGCUCUACUUCCACAGUGUCAGAAUCAUUCACAGCAGGCACGCCCUCCUGCCUCCAAGAGAGUCACCAGCAGCUUCCUCCUCCACAGCUGUGAGUAAAUGAGAGGGUCCACUCCACCCAAUAGCUCAAAUCCCAGUUUCAGGAUUUGAUCUGUGGCUGAUCAGUCGAGGGACACAGGCCCAUUCCUGAGCCCAUCGCUGUGGCUGGAGAGAUGGGAGACACCGAUUGGUCUAAGCCAGUCAAGCCCUCUCAAGGCCAAAUCGCGUGGGCAAGAAAUUUAAGACAAGGAGAAGAAGAAGAAAGAGAAAAGAGAAUGUCAAGGAGACAAAUGGCAAAUGGAUACCCACUCCGUCCCUCCUACAAGGGAGAUAUAUUCCCCCCAUUUCAUGGAGGAGGAAACUGAUGAUCAGAGCGGCCAGGAAACAGGACGGUACCCUCCUGUACGUAGGCACAGGCCAAACGAGGUGCCCACAGUCUUAAUACUUCUUUCCCCAACCCACAGUUGUACCUCACUCUAGAAACCAAAGGAUACAAAUGGAGACCAGGCUCAUUUUUGCCCCUCAAACUGGCGAAGGUGAAUAAAAGCAUGUCUCUUGAUGCUGGGGAGUGUGGAGUCGGGGAGGUUGUUUACUCCUGCCUGGUAAUGUAGACAUUACCAUGAGCUUCCUGGAAGCAAGAGCUUCUA
RNAcentral lists this long non-coding RNA (3297 nucleotides) under Saimiri boliviensis boliviensis (Bolivian squirrel monkey). RNAcentral's name for it is "lncRNA (ENSSBOG00000036667.1)". The record is from RNAcentral. Lineage: Eukaryota; Metazoa; Chordata; Mammalia; Primates; Cebidae.